UGUGUUACAGAGCCCUAAGUAGGUCGGGCCCAACGUUGCCAAGAUCUGGAGAAGGACAGUAGACUGCUGCCUUCAGCUCCUGUGUUGAGAAUCUUGUCAGGAUUGCUUCUAUUUUCCAUGAAGGGUAAAAGGAAGGUGACUCUCCCUAUCUCCUACACUGGCUGCCAUGUGGCUGUGACAUAAGCUGAAGUGGACAGUGGAGGAGUGA
This 208-nucleotide long non-coding RNA is filed under the name Monodelphis domestica (gray short-tailed opossum). RNAcentral describes it as "lncRNA (ENSMODG00000043523.1)". Lineage: Eukaryota; Metazoa; Chordata; Mammalia; Didelphimorphia; Didelphidae. The record is from RNAcentral.